RNAcentral lists this long non-coding RNA (657 nucleotides) under Zea mays. RNAcentral's name for it is "long non-coding RNA NONZMAT003990". Lineage: Eukaryota; Viridiplantae; Streptophyta; Magnoliopsida; Poales; Poaceae. The record is from RNAcentral.
GGCCCAAGCGAUCGGUUGUGGCUUGUGGGGGUGGGGCCAUCUCCCUCCCUCCCUCUCUCUCUCUCGGGGACGGUGAAACGGCGCUGGAUGUCGCCCGGCGAGGAAUUGAGAUCCCAGCCGGUGGCAGAUCACAUCAUUAGGCAAUUAGCAACGCAUAAACAAAGGAUCCUGAGAUGAGCCGGAGGACCACCGCACCGCACCUACCCCCGGCCACCCGCGAUCAGGCCUCCUUGCCCUAUCCCAGAGAUUAUCCGCGUCAUCGCCCCUUGCCAUGGUUUCAACUGUGUACCAACGAGUGAUUCCAGGAAGACCUGAACUCGUGUGCCCCUCAAACACUUGCAGAGCCUGCCUGAUUGAAUUCGGGGUACAAAUGAGACCUAUUCAACUGAAGAGAACUGAUAGGGAGUACUCCUACACGGGAACCAGAGCGACCAAGAAACGAGAGUAACCAAGUCAAUGUAUUAAAACAAAAAAAAUAAACAUAUCAACAUCGACAUCCAAGUAGUACAGAACGGGACCGAUGUAGGGAGUAUAUAUAUUAUUUAGCUUGAACAAGGUUUCUGCACGCAAGCUAACAACACACUUAUCUGCACCUCAACCUGAAUGACAUCCAUGAGAUCAAAUCACAUCAAAUAUACAGAUGGCUACACAAAUGAC